Molecule: ribosomal RNA, 1233 nt
Filed under: Gammaproteobacteria bacterium
Lineage: Bacteria; Pseudomonadati; Pseudomonadota; Gammaproteobacteria
Description: bacterial SSU rRNA
Rfam family: Bacterial small subunit ribosomal RNA
Source: RNAcentral
CGGCAUGGCGCUGCUUACCAUGCAGUCGAACGGUGAACACGGAGCUUGCUCUGUGGGAUCAGUGGCGAACGGGUGAGUAACACGUGAGCAACCUGCCCCUGACUCUGGGAUAAGCGCUGGAAACGGCGUCUAAUACUGGAUACGAGUAGCGACCGCAUGGUCAGUUACUGGAAAGAUUUAUUGGUUGGGGAUGGGCUCGCGGCCUAUCAGCUUGUUGGUGAGGUAAUGGCUCACCAAGGCGUCGACGGGUAGCCGGCCUGAGAGGGUGACCGGCCACACUGGGACUGAGACACGGCCCAGACUCCUACGGGAGGCAGCAGUGGGGAAUAUUGCACAAUGGGCGCAAGCCUGAUGCAGCAACGCCGCGUGAGGGAUGACGGCCUUCGGGUUGUAAACCUCUUUUAGCAGGGAAGAAGCGAAAGUGACGGUACCUGCAGAAAAAGCGCCGGCUAACUACGUGCCAGCAGCCGCGGUAAUACGUAGGGCGCAAGCGUUAUCCGGAAUUAUUGGGCGUAAAGAGCUCGUAGGCGGUUUGUCGCGUCUGCUGUGAAAUCCGGAGGCUCAACCUCCGGCCUGCAGUGGGUACGGGCAGACUAGAGUGCGGUAGGGGAGAUUGGAAUUCCUGGUGUAGCGGUGGAAUGCGCAGAUAUCAGGAGGAACACCGAUGGCGAAGGCAGAUCUCUGGGCCGUAACUGACGCUGAGGAGCGAAAGGGUGGGGAGCAAACAGGCUUAGAUACCCUGGUAGUCCACCCCGUAAACGUUGGGAACUAGUUGUGGGGUCCAUUCCACGGAUUCCGUGACGCAGCUAACGCAUUAAGUUCCCCGCCUGGGGAGUACGGCCGCAAGGCUAAAACUCAAAGGAAUUGACGGGGACCCGCACAAGCGGCGGAGCAUGCGGAUUAAUUCGAUGCAACGCGAAGAACCUUACCAAGGCUUGACAUAUACGAGAACGGGCCAGAAAUGGUCAACUCUUUGGACACUCGUAAACAGGUGGUGCAUGGUUGUCGUCAGCUCGUGUCGUGAGAUGUUGGGGUUAAGUCCCGCAACGAGCGCAACCCUCGUUCUAUGUUGCCAGCACGUAAUGGUGGGAACUCAUGGGAUACUGCCGGGGUCACUCGGGAGGAAAGNUGGGGGAUGACGUCAAUCAUCAUGCCCCUAUGUCUGGGCUNACGCAUGCUACAUGCGNACCAANGNCUGCAAUACGCGAGNGGNACGAAUCCCAAAAAGCCGGU